Molecule: ribosomal RNA, 512 nt
Filed under: Hydrophis platurus (pelagic sea snake)
Lineage: Eukaryota; Metazoa; Chordata; Lepidosauria; Squamata; Elapidae
Description: partial 16S ribosomal RNA
Rfam family: Bacterial large subunit ribosomal RNA
Source: RNAcentral
ACCUUUAGCUAAACCAGUAUUAAAGGCAACGCCUGCCCAGUGAAUAAUUAAACGGCCGCGGUACCCUAACCGUGCAAAGGUAGCGUAAUCAUUUGUCUAUUAAUUGUAGACCCGUAUGAAAGGCAUAAUGAGGGUUUAACUGUCUCUUUUAGUAAAUCAAUUAAACUGAUCUCCUAGUCCAAAAGCUAGGAUACCAACAUAAGACCAGAAGACCCUGUGAAACUUUAACUAAAAUAUUAAAGCCUAUAAUAACUACUUUAGGUUGGGGCGACCUUGGAAAAUAAAAGAACUUCCAUACACAUAUUAUACAAUAAUAUACCACCGGCCAACAAGCCUACAACGACCCAGCACAGCUGAUAAUUGAACCAAGCUACUCCAGGGAUAACAGCGCUAUCUUCUUCAAGAGCCCAUAUCAAAAAGAAGGUUUACGACCUCGAUGUUGGAUCAGGACAUCCUAAUGGUGCAACCGCUAUUAAGGGUUCGUUUGUUCAACGAUUAAUAGUCCUACGUGA